GACGAACGCUGGCGGCGUGCUUAACACAUGCAAGUCGAACGGAAAGGCCCUGCUUUUGUGGGGUGCUCGAGUGGCGAACGGGUGAGUAACACGUGAGUAACCUGCCCUUGACUUUGGGAUAACUUCAGGAAACUGGGGCUAAUACCGGAUAGGAGCUCCUGCUGCAUGGUGGGGGUUGGAAAGUUUCGGCGGUUGGGGAUGGACUCGCGGCUUAUCAGCUUGUCGGUGGGGUAGUGGCUUACCAAGGCUUUGACGGGUAGCCGGCCUGAGAGGGUGACCGGCCACAUUGGGACUGAGAUACGGCCCAGACUCCUACGGGAGGCAGCAGUGGGGAAUAUUGCACAAUGGGCGGAAGCCUGAUGCAGCAACGCCGCGUGCGGGAUGAAGGCCUUCGGGUUGUAAACCGCUUUCGCCUGUGACGAAGCGUGAGUGACGGUAAUGGGUAAAGAAGCACCGGCUAACUACGUG
This 468-nucleotide ribosomal RNA is filed under the name uncultured bacterium. RNAcentral describes it as "partial 16S ribosomal RNA". It matches the Rfam family "Bacterial small subunit ribosomal RNA", at positions 28 to 507 of the family's 1533-position model. The record is from RNAcentral.